AUUGAACGCUGGCGGCAUGCCUAACACAUGCAAGUCGCACGCGAAAGGGGGCAACCCCGAGUAGAGUGGCGGACGGGUGCGUAACGCGUAGGAAUAUACCUGGUAGUGGGGGACAACCCGGCGAAAGCCGGGCUAAUACCGCAUACGAUCCACGGAUGAAAGCAGGGGACCGCAAGGCCUUGCGCUAUCAGAUUAGCCUGCGUCGGAUUAGCUAGUUGGUGAGGUAAAGGCUCACCAAGGCAACGAUCCGUAGCUGGUUUGAGAGAACGACCAGCCACACUGGGACUGAGACACGGCCCAGACUCCUACGGGAGGCUGCCUGAGACGCCAAGGCACACAGGGGAUAGG
Molecule: ribosomal RNA, 348 nt
Filed under: uncultured Pseudomonadota bacterium
Lineage: Bacteria; Pseudomonadati; Pseudomonadota
Description: bacterial SSU rRNA
Rfam family: Bacterial small subunit ribosomal RNA
Source: RNAcentral